AUUCUGGUUGAUCCUGCCAGUAGUUAUAUGCUUGUCUCAAAGAUUAAACCAUGCAUGUUCUAAGUACACACGAAUUAACAGUGAAACCGCAAAAGGCUCAUUAUAUCAGUUAUGGUUCCUUAGAUCGUUAACAGUUACUUGGAUAACUGUGGUAAUUCUAGAAACUAUUCCUGCAAUUAAAAACCGGACCUUUUGGAAACUGUGGCUUUUAUAAGGCAAAACCCACCGAUCCCCAAAUUCUUUUUAUGGGUGAACUCCAAAAAACUGCCAAUUCUAUGGGGCUUGGACCCACCAAA
Molecule: non-coding RNA, 296 nt
Filed under: Drosophila virilis
Lineage: Eukaryota; Metazoa; Arthropoda; Insecta; Diptera; Drosophilidae
Description: Eukaryotic small subunit ribosomal RNA
Rfam family: Eukaryotic small subunit ribosomal RNA
Source: Rfam by way of RNAcentral